RNAcentral lists this ribosomal RNA (2555 nucleotides) under Citrobacter sp. Cf138. RNAcentral's name for it is "partial 23S ribosomal RNA". It matches the Rfam family "Bacterial large subunit ribosomal RNA", at positions 236 to 2822 of the family's 2925-position model. Lineage: Bacteria; Pseudomonadati; Pseudomonadota; Gammaproteobacteria; Enterobacterales; Enterobacteriaceae. The record is from RNAcentral.
UCCCCCAGUAGCGGCGAGCGAACGGGGAGCAGCCCAGAGUCUGAAUCAGCUUGUGUGUUAGUGGAACGGUCUGGAAAGUCCGACGGUACAGGGUGAUAGUCCCGUACACCAAAAUGCACAGGUUGUGAACUCGAAGAGUAGGGCGGGACACGUGGUAUCCUGUCUGAAUAUGGGGGGACCAUCCUCCAAGGCUAAAUACUCCUGACUGACCGAUAGUGAACCAGUACCGUGAGGGAAAGGCGAAAAGAACCCCGGCGAGGGGAGUGAAAAAGAACCUGAAACCGUGUACGUACAAGCAGUGGGAGCCUCUUUAUGGGGUGACUGCGUACCUUUUGUAUAAUGGGUCAGCGACUUAUAUUCUGUAGCAAGGUUAACCGUAUAGGGGAGCCGAAGGGAAACCGAGUCUUAACUGGGCGUUAAGUUGCAGGGUAUAGACCCGAAACCCGGUGAUCUAGCCAUGGGCAGGUUGAAGGUUGGGUAACACUAACUGGAGGACCGAACCGACUAAUGUUGAAAAAUUAGCGGAUGACUUGUGGCUGGGGGUGAAAGGCCAAUCAAACCGGGAGAUAGCUGGUUCUCCCCGAAAGCUAUUUAGGUAGCGCCUCGUGAAUUCAUCUUCGGGGGUAGAGCACUGUUUCGGCUAGGGGGUCAUCCCGACUUACCAACCCGAUGCAAACUGCGAAUACCGAAGAAUGUUAUCACGGGAGACACACGGCGGGUGCUAACGUCCGUCGUGAAGAGGGAAACAACCCAGACCGCCAGCUAAGGUCCCAAAGUCAUGGUUAAGUGGGAAACGAUGUGGGAAGGCACAGACAGCCAGGAUGUUGGCUUAGAAGCAGCCAUCAUUUAAAGAAAGCGUAAUAGCUCACUGGUCGAGUCGGCCUGCGCGGAAGAUGUAACGGGGCUAAACCAUGCACCGAAGCUGCGGCAGCGACACUAUGUGUUGUUGGGUAGGGGAGCGUUCUGUAAGCCGUUGAAGGUGUAUCGUGAGGUAUGCUGGAGGUAUCAGAAGUGCGAAUGCUGACAUAAGUAACGAUAAUGCGGGUGAAAAACCCGCACGCCGGAAGACCAAGGGUUCCUGUCCAACGUUAAUCGGGGCAGGGUGAGUCGACCCCUAAGGCGAGGCCGAAAGGCGUAGUCGAUGGGAAACAGGUUAAUAUUCCUGUACUUGGUGUUACUGCGAAGGGGGGACGGAGAAGGCUAUGUUAGCCGGGCGACGGUUGUCCCGGUUUAAGCAUGUAGGCGGAGGUUCCAGGUAAAUCCGGUACCUUUUUAACGCUGAGGUGUGAUGACGAGGCACUANNNNNNNNNNNNNNNNNNNNNNNNNNNNNNNNNNNNNNNNNNNNNNNNNNAAAUCGUACCCCAAACCGACACAGGUGGUCAGGUAGAGAAUACCAAGGCGCUUGAGAGAACUCGGGUGAAGGAACUAGGCAAAAUGGUGCCGUAACUUCGGGAGAAGGCACGCUGAUAUGUAGGUGAAGCGGUUUACCCGUGGAGCUGAAAUCAGUCGAAGAUACCAGCUGGCUGCAACUGUUUAUUAAAAACACAGCACUGUGCAAACACGAAAGUGGACGUAUACGGUGUGACGCCUGCCCGGUGCCGGAAGGUUAAUUGAUGGGGUUAUCCGUAAGGAGAAGCUCUUGAUCGAAGCCCCGGUAAACGGCGGCCGUAACUAUAACGGUCCUAAGGUAGCGAAAUUCCUUGUCGGGUAAGUUCCGACCUGCACGAAUGGCGUAAUGAUGGCCAGGCUGUCUCCACCCGAGACUCAGUGAAAUUGAACUCGCUGUGAAGAUGCAGUGUACCCGCGGCAAGACGGAAAGACCCCGUGAACCUUUACUAUAGCUUGACACUGAACACUGGUCCUUGAUGUGUAGGAUAGGUGGGAGGCUUUGAAGUGUGGACGCCAGUCUGCAUGGAGCCAUCCUUGAAAUACCACCCUUUAAUGGCUGGUGUUCUAACGUGGACCCGUAAUCCGGGUUGCGGACAGUGUCUGGUGGGUAGUUUGACUGGGGCGGUCUCCUCCUAAAGAGUAACGGAGGAGCACGAAGGUUAGCUAAUCCUGGUCGGACAUCAGGAGGUUAGUGCAAAGGCAUAAGCUAGCUUGACUGCGAGAGUGACGGCUCGAGCAGGUGCGAAAGCAGGUCUUAGUGAUCCGGUGGUUCUGAAUGGAAGGGCCAUCGCUCAACGGAUAAAAGGUACUCCGGGGAUAACAGGCUGAUACCGCCCAAGAGUUCAUAUCGACGGCGGUGUUUGGCACCUCGAUGUCGGCUCAUCACAUCCUGGGGCUGAAGUAGGUCCCAAGGGUAUGGCUGUUCGCCAUUUAAAGUGGUACGCGAGCUGGGUUUAGAACGUCGUGAGACAGUUCGGUCCCUAUCUGCCGUGGGCGCUGGAGAAUUGAGGGGGGCUGCUCCUAGUACGAGAGGACCGGAGUGGACGCAUCACUGGUGUUCGGGUUGUCAUGCCAAUGGCAUUGCCCGGUAGCUAAAUGCGGAAGAGAUAAGUGCUGAAAGCAUCUAAGCACGAAACUUGCCCCGAGAUGAGUUCUCCCUGAGACU